Molecule: ribosomal RNA, 110 nt
Filed under: Chloroflexota bacterium
Lineage: Bacteria; Bacillati; Chloroflexota
Description: partial 16S ribosomal RNA
Rfam family: Bacterial small subunit ribosomal RNA
Source: RNAcentral
UUGUCGGAGAGUUUGAUCCUGGCUCAGGACAAACGCUGGCGGCGUGCAUAAAACAUGCAAGUCGAACGGACUUCAGUCCGCAAGGACUGAAGUGAGUGGCGAACGGCUGA